GGGAGGGGAGCUAGCGUGUUCGGAAUCACUGGGCGUAAAGGGCGCGUAGGCGUCGGGGUAAGUCGAGUGUGAAAUUCCGGGGCUCAACCCCGCGAACUGCAUUCGAUACUGCUCGACUAGAGAGAGGUAGGGGCGAGUGGAAUUCCCGGUGUAGCGGUGGAAUGCGUAGAUAUCGGGAAGGACACCGGUGGCGAAGGCGGCUCGCUGGGCCUUUUCUGACGCUGAAGCGCGAAAGCGUGGGGAGCAAACAGGAUUAGAUACCCUGGUAGUCCACGCCGUAAACGAUGGGUACUAGGUGUUGGGAGGAUUGACCCUCUCAGUGCCGACGCUAACGCAUUAAGUACCCCGCCUGGGGAGUACGGCCGCAAGGCUG
This 373-nucleotide ribosomal RNA is filed under the name uncultured organism. RNAcentral describes it as "partial 16S ribosomal RNA". It matches the Rfam family "Bacterial small subunit ribosomal RNA", at positions 525 to 896 of the family's 1533-position model. The record is from RNAcentral.